CCUGCCUCCCGGCCCACCAGUCGGGGCCUCCCUCCUGGAGCUCCAGGGUCUCGCCGCAUGGUGGAGCCGCCGCGCCUGGCUCACGGUCCCGCGCGCGCUCCUGGGCCCGCACGCCUGAGUCACCUUUGUCUCCCGCUGGGAUCAAGGAUGGAGUCUGUGGCCCCUAUCCCACUGGGCACUCCUUAGUUUCCUCGCCCUCUCUUAAAAAUCCGAGGAACUAAGGUUCUAAUCGGAUACAAGAAACCUGGAAAAACCGUUUAGUGAAAAUGGCACAUAGCCUGUCCUUCAGUUACAAAUCCCAUUUUUUCUGGUGGCGGGGAUGGUGGGCCGUGUGUGUUGAGAGAGGAGAGUGCAAGUUCGUGCAGCUGGGACUUCUCCCUUAUAUCCAGACCAUGUCUUGAAAUCGGUACGUAUUCUGCCCUUUUUCUGAGUAGAUCCAUCCCAGGGCAAGUGUGUAAGUGUGAGAUAUCCUCAGGCAUUCACCAAGGUAGUAAAUACCACUAAUACAUUUAGAAUUGUUUUCAACCAGCUUUGAAACAAGAGGUUUUGUUUUUCUUGUUGGUUUGGUUAACCCUGUGUUUAUAUUAUAGGAAAAGUCACUCUAAUGAAAAUGUUUAAAUCAUUAAGAUAUUUUUAAAAACUUGAUUUUGGAAUAAGUUGUUAUAUUAGUUUAAGCAGCACAAUUCAAAG
Heterocephalus glaber (naked mole-rat) is the source of this 690-nucleotide long non-coding RNA. Lineage: Eukaryota; Metazoa; Chordata; Mammalia; Rodentia; Bathyergidae. The record is from Ensembl.